ACACAACUCUCUUCAUAAAUGGUUUUUAACUUUAAAUAAAUCGCACAAGGAUUUAAAAAUCCUUAUCCUACAAAUUAUGAUCAGGUUUCACAUCAAAAUUGAGAGUCUUUAUCAAUUUAAAGUCUUUACCAAGAUAGGAAAAGAAGAAUCCUAUUACUACAAGGCAUGACCGGGAUUAGACUUUUCUUCACUCCAUGGAC
Molecule: long non-coding RNA, 200 nt
Filed under: Carica papaya (papaya)
Lineage: Eukaryota; Viridiplantae; Streptophyta; Magnoliopsida; Brassicales; Caricaceae
Description: long non-coding RNA (CPAP_LNC002402)
Source: RNAcentral